UCAGGGGGAUAACACUUGGUAAACAGGUGCUAAUACCGCAGAACAAUUUAUGCCGCACGGCAUAAGAGUGAAAGGCGCUUUCGGGUGUCGCUGAUGGAUGGACCCGCGGUGCAUUAGCUAGUUGGUGAGGUAACGGCUCACCAAGGCCACGAUGCAUAGCCCACCUGAGAGGGUGAUCGGCCACACUGGGACUGAGACACGGCCCAGACUCCUACGGGAGGCAGCAGUAGGGAAUCUUCGGCAAUGGACGAAAGUCUGACCGAGCAACGCCGCGUGAGUGAAGAAGGUUUUCGGAUCGUAAAACUCUGUUGUUAGAGAAGAACAAGGACGUUAGUAACUGAACGUCCCCUGACGGUAUCUAACCAGAAAGCCACGGCUAACUACGUGCCAGCAGCCGCGGUAAUACGUAGGUGGCAAGCGUUGUCCGGAUUUAUUGGGCGUAAAGCGAGCGCAGGCGGUUUCUUAAGUCUGAUGUGAAAGCCCCCGGCUCAACCGGGGAGGGUCAUUGGAAACUGGGAGACUUGAGUGCAGAAGAGGAGAGUGGAAUUCCAUGUGUAGCGGUGAAAUGCGUAGAUAUAUGGGAGGAACACCAGUGGCGAAGCGGCUCUCUGGUCUGUAACUGACGCUGAGGCUCGAAAGCGUGGGGAGCAACAGGAUUAGAUACCCUGGUAGUCCACGCCGUAACGAUGAGUGCUAAGUGUUGGAGGGUUUCCGCCCUUCAGUGCUGCAGCAACGCAAUAAGCACUCCGCCUGGGGAGUACGACGC
This 766-nucleotide ribosomal RNA is filed under the name Enterococcus faecalis. Its description in RNAcentral is "bacterial SSU rRNA". It matches the Rfam family "Bacterial small subunit ribosomal RNA", at positions 133 to 888 of the family's 1533-position model. The record is from RNAcentral. Lineage: Bacteria; Bacillati; Bacillota; Bacilli; Lactobacillales; Enterococcaceae.